CNAGCUGGCGGCGUGCUUACACAUGCAAGUCGAACGGUGACCUCGGAGCUUGCUUCGGGUGAUCAGUGGCGAACGGGUGAGUAACACGUGAGUAACCUGCCCCAGACUCUGGGAUAACCUCGGGAAACCGGGGCUAAUACCGGAUAUGCAGCGUUCCCGCAUGGGAUGCGUUGGGAAAGUUUUUCGGUCUGGGAUGGACUCGCGGCCUAUCAGCUUGUUGGUGAGGUAGUGGCUCACCAAGGCGACGACGGGUAGCCGGCCUGAGAGGGCGACCGGCCACACUGGAACUGAGACACGGUCCAGACUCCUAUGGGAGGCAGCAGUGGGGAAUAUUGCACAAUGGGCGCAAGCCUGAUGCAGCGACGCCGCGUGGGGGAUGAAGGCCUUCGGGUUGUAAACCCCUUUCAGCAGGGAAGAAGCGAAAGUGACGGUACCUGCAGAAGAAGCGCCGGCUAACUACGUGCCAGCAGCCGCGGUAAUACGUAGGGCGCAAGCGUUGUCCGGAAUUAUUGGGCGUAAAGAGCUCGUAGGCGGUUUGUCGCGUCUGCUGUGAAAACCCGAGGCUCAACCUCGGGCCUGCAGUGGGUACGGGCAGACUAGAGUGUGGUAGGGGAGACUGGAAUUCCUGG
This 629-nucleotide ribosomal RNA is filed under the name uncultured Actinomycetes bacterium. RNAcentral's name for it is "bacterial SSU rRNA". It matches the Rfam family "Bacterial small subunit ribosomal RNA", at positions 30 to 673 of the family's 1533-position model. Lineage: Bacteria; Bacillati; Actinomycetota; Actinomycetes. The record is from RNAcentral.